GCAGUUGGAAGGGCUUGCGUGAGCCUCACCCGCACAGCGCCGGGCACGCGAGGGGCGGGGCUUUCCGAAGCCUGGUUCGGAGUAGGCGGGGCCAGCCCCUCCCCGGUUGGAGGAGGUGGAGCAGCAGUUGCUGCCCGCGCGCCCCUAGUAACGGCCCUUGGAGCGGCGACCAUGACUCAGUCGGUGGUGGUGCAGGUGGGCCAGUGCGGGAACCAGAUCGGCUGCCGCUUCUGGGACCUGGCGCUGAGGGAACACGCCGCCGUCAACAAGAAAGGAAUUUAUGAUGAAGCAUUAAGCAGCUUCUUUAGAAAUGUGGAUACCAGAAAUGGUGGUGAUGGUGCUGAUAUUCACAAAGGAAAAAUCUUCUCUUUAAAAGCACGAGCUCUCUUGAUUGACAUGGAGGAGGGUGUAGUGAAUGAAAUUCUGCAGGGGCCAUUGAGAGAUGUGUUUGAUAGCAAGCAGCUCAUCACAGAUGUUUCUGGUUCAGGGAACAACUGGGCUGUAGGUCAUAAACUGUAUGGCUAUCAGUACCGGGAACACAUUGUGGAAAAGCUGAGGAGGACUGCAGAACACUGCGACUGUCUGCAGUGUUUUUUUGUAAUUCAUUCAAUGGGAGGUGGGACAGGAUCUGGUCUUGGUACUUUUGUACUAAACGUGCUUGAAGAUGAGUUCCCGGAAGUAUAUAGAUUUGUUACUUCAGUUUACCCUUCUGGGGAGGAUGAUGUCAUUACUUCUCCAUAUAAUAGUGUUCUGGCUAUGAAGGAACUUAAUGAGCAUGCGGACUGUGUGCUGCCAAUUGAAAAUGAAUCUUUAUUUUCUAUAGUUAGUAAAAUUCAUCAGAUGACCAGUUCUGGAAAGCUAGGAUCAACUGUGAAACAAAACAGCUUGUUAACCUCAAGUGCAGGCAGUAUCAAAACUGACCAGGAGAAGCCAUUUGAUGCUAUGAACAAUAUUGUGGCCAACUUGCUGCUGAACCUGACAAGCUCUGCCAGGUUUGAAGGUUCCCUUAAUAUGGAUCUUAAUGAAAUCAGCAUGAAUUUGGUUCCCUUUCCUCGACUUCAUUACCUGGUUUCCAGCUUGACUCCUCUGUAUACAUUGGCUGAUGUUAAUGUACCUUCUAGACGGUUGGAUCAAAUGUUUUCAGAUGCUUUCAGCAAAGACCACCAGUUGAUUCAAGCAGACCCAAAGCAUAGCUUGUACCUUGCCUGUGCACUUCUGGUUCGAGGAAAUGUACAGGUUUCAGACCUUCGCAGAAACAUUGAAAGGUUGAAGCCUUCCCUUCAUUUUGUCUCAUGGAAUCAAGAAGGCUGGAAAACUGGCCUAUGUUCAGUACCUCCUGUGGGCCAUUCUCACUCAUUGUUGGCAUUAGCAAACAACACGUGUGUGAAACCGACCUUUACAGAGCUCAAAGACAGAUUCAUGAAGCUCUACAAGAAAAAGGCUCACCUUCACCAUUACUUGCGUGUUGAUGGGAUGGAGCAAAGCUGUUUCUCCGAAGCCAUAUCAUCCUUGUCAGAUCUAAUAGAGGAGUAUAACCAGCUAGAUGCCACUAAAAGUGUGCCUGGAACAUAUCCCUCAAGACUGAAGAUAGCUAUGUAACAGAGGAAGAAUUGCUGUUAUUUGUAGAACAGCAAACUGCCUAAGCUACCUGGAUGGGUUAUGAAAGCAGCUAGGACUAAUCAUUCCACAGAGAUGCUGCUACUGUCUCUCUCCAGGCUGGCUGGGAGUGUUGUAUCAAGUGCUCAGACUGUGGAAAAAGGACCAACAUAUAUCACACACUAGCAGAAAAUGGGCUGCUGAGAUGUUGGCCUCCAUUAGGGGCCAUUGGACCUGGCAGAGCCCAGGAGGAUUUUGAACUGGAGGAUUCCCAGCAGCUGCAGUUCCCAGCAUGUCCUGAAGGAAGGAGUUGGCAUGCACGAAAAACUGUGCAAGCCCAGGACCUAGCAUCAGGCUGUUCCUCCCUCUGGAUCCCUAGGCUCUAGGAGGGUAGGGGAUGUGAGUAUCUGGGCUGGGGGGGCCCACCGCUGGCCUUUAUGAGGGAGGGAUGUGACUGUCUGACCCCCUGGCUGGGCUCUAGAUAGGAAGGGGGCAGAGAAACAACUGGGUAGUGACAGGGGUUUCUUUAACUCUCUUCCUGGGAGAAUUUAUGUAUGUGUCUGUAUUGUUACAGAGCUAAUUGCUGAAAGGUAUUUUGAAAUAAAUUACCAAAAUAAUUGAAACAAGGGUGUUUAUAUAGUAUUAUAUUAAAAUUUUGCAAAUUUUAUCAAUUGUGUGCACAGAAUUCCCCCAGGAGUAGAUUAUAGCGCAGGUCCUCAUGUGGUAGUGCCAAGGGUUAACUAUAAAUUUAAUUCCAGAAGUUAAUUUUUGAGUCCGUCACUCUGCAGUGUUUCAUUAUUGGCUUGGGUCUAUAAAAUCAUGGUUUGAAAUCUAAGAUGGAUAGGCAUGUGACCCACAAAGUUCAUUUUUUAAAUCAAAGGAAAUUUUUAUUUAGAUUUAAAUAUCUGCCAAGAGUUUGUAACCCAAAAAUUGUAACAUCAUGGUAAUACAUGAAAACCAGAAAGUAAAACUGGACAUGUAAACAAACUUGACUUUCCAUUCAACUGGAAUCAAAGGCAGAAAAGUUCCAUUUAAGGCCUGGUUCCUGAAAUGGAAUCCCUAGUGCACUGAGCCCUGUGCACAGAGCAGUCUCUAUCCAGGAAGGCUCUGACAAAUGGGGAAAAUUCUUCCAUGGAUGUGCCAGCAAAGGAUUAAAAGCAAUUUCUGGGUCUAUUUAGACCUGCCAACUCUCUAUGGGUUUUCAGACCUUUCUACAGGACUGGGUGAAAAAAACUUGUCUAUGGAGGGAAAUGCUGCUCUAAUUAGCUGCCUGUCCCCAUCACCUGUAUCUUGGGAAAAGACAGUCAAUCAGAGGUGGUGUAUGAGCUGAAUAACUGCAUGGACCCUCAGCAUGUGUAGCAACCAGUGAUCCUUCCCUUCCCCUGCAAACACGGGGCUGGAAUGUUCAGCCCUGUGAAUUGAAAGCCAACUGGGAAACAGUUGCUUUGCAGUUCUCAUUGUGUUCCACAGUUUAUCCAAAUUCCUGAAUUCAUAGCAAGGGCUGGAGCUGCUCUUCACUCUCAAUAAAAAUGAAAAUUCACCUUAAAAUUUCUGUUUUAUUAACGUGCCGGGAAGAAGCAACAUCUUGUCUUGCAGGUAUAUAAAAUUAUAAUUCCAAUCUAUUAAUACAUUUUAAUUGGUUUAAAUGAUUUGGUAUCCGAUAUUCCAGAUGGCUCCGUUUCUCCUUGGUUAGAUUAACAUCAUUCUCUAAAAGUGUGCAAUUCAUUCAUUUGAACUCAGUUGGUUUUCUGAGUUCCUUUCCUAUUGUGUAUGGUUUUAGUCCCAGUUUUGGAUAAAUUCUGUAAAAAGGAAUUGCUAUCCUUCAUGUCUCGUCUGAGGCUACGUGUUCACUACCCGCCCUAUCGGCAGGUAGCAAUCGAUCCCCGAACGUGCUUAUUAUCAAUUCCGGAACUCCACCAACCCCAACGGAGUUGCGGAGUCGACAUGGGGAGCCACGGACAUCGAUCCCAUGCCAUGAGGACGGUGAGUAAUUCGAUCUUAGAUACUUCGACUUCAGCUACGUUAUUCACGUAGCUGAAGUUGCGUAUCUGAGAUCGAUUUUCCCUUGUAGUGUAGACCAGCUCUGAGUAUCAAAUGUAUCAUUUAAAUGUAGGAUAAGGUUCCAUUUUUUAGGAUAGCUUGCAUAAGCACUUGAACUUCUUGAAAGCUUGUCCAACCUGAAUUCCAGAUUUUGGGGUUAACUACCAGCGUGUGUGUAUAAAUUUGCUAUAGCCUGGCUGGCUCACUUGUUUGCAUGCUCCUUCCUAUAUAUCUGCAAUACUUGAAUCUGGUUUGUUCUUGAGCCUCGGGCUACCCUUAGUUUUAU
Molecule: RNA transcript, 3922 nt
Organism: Gopherus flavomarginatus (Mexican gopher tortoise)
Lineage: Eukaryota; Metazoa; Chordata; Testudines; Testudinidae
Gene: TUBE1
Gene name: tubulin epsilon 1
Exons: 13
Source: RefSeq, a predicted model, not a curated record